This 41-nucleotide ribosomal RNA is filed under the name Bothrogonia formosana. RNAcentral's name for it is "partial 5.8S ribosomal RNA". Lineage: Eukaryota; Metazoa; Arthropoda; Insecta; Hemiptera; Cicadellidae. The record is from RNAcentral.
UGCGGCAUUCGCAUACUAAUUCCAGGGCUACGCCUGUCUGA